Molecule: ribosomal RNA, 865 nt
Filed under: uncultured bacterium
Lineage: Bacteria
Description: bacterial SSU rRNA
Rfam family: Bacterial small subunit ribosomal RNA
Source: RNAcentral
CCCACGGGAGGCAUCACUGGGGAAUAUUGCUCCAUGGGUGGAAGCCUGACCCACUUCCGCCGCGUGGGGGAUGACGGCCUUCGGGUUGCAAACCUCUUUCGGCCCCGACGAACCCCGAGUGACGGUCGGGGUACCCUAAGCACCGGCCAUUUACGUGCCUUCCGCCCCCGUAAUACGUAGGGCGCAAGCGUUGUCCGGAAUUAUUGGGCGUAAAGAGCUCGUAGGCGGUCUGUCGCGUCUGCUGUGAAAUCCUCAGGCUCAACCUGGGGCUUGCAGUGGGUACUGGCUGACUGGAUUGCCCCAGGGGUGACUGGAAUUCCUGGUGUAGCGGUGGAAUGCGCAGAUAUCAGGAGGAACACCGAUGGCGAAGGCGGUCACUGGGCCGAUACUGACGCUGAGGAGCGAAAGCUUGGGGAGGGAACAGGAUUAGAUACCCUGUCAGCCCCUGCCGCAAACCCCCGGCGCUUCGUGUGGGGGUCAUUCCACCGUCCCUGUGCCCCAGCUAACGCAUUAAGCGCCCCGCCUGGGGAGUACGGCCGCUAGGCUACCACUCAAACGAAUUGACCGCGGCCCGCACUAGCGGCGGAGCAUGUGCAUUAAUUCGAUGCUCCCCUAACAAUUUACCCGGGUUUGACAUGCACCACACGCAUCCCGACAUGGGUGCUGCCUUGUGUCCGGAGUGCAGGUGGUGUCUGGCUGUCGUCAGCUCUCUCUGACAUCUUCGGUUAACUGCCGCAACGAGCGCAACCCUUGUUCCAUGUUGCCACCUCGUAAUGGUCGGGCACUCUUGGCAGACUGCCCCGGUCAAUCUUGAGGACGUGGUGACGACGCUCACUCAUCAUGCCCUUAUUGCCAGGGUUCUACA